This is a long non-coding RNA of Sitophilus oryzae (rice weevil), 444 nucleotides long. RefSeq lists it as uncharacterized. NCBI's taxonomy places the organism in Eukaryota, Metazoa, Arthropoda, Insecta, Coleoptera, Curculionidae. The transcript is spliced from 3 exons. The record is from RefSeq and is a predicted model, not a curated record.
ACAGGCUUUUUCCUCCAUGGAUCAAUGAUUUAAAUGACUUUAAACGGUGCAUAGGAGGUUCAAAUUCAUUUACAUAGUGACUUUAUACCUUUCAAAUUAUUUAAGAUCUUUUUAGAUCAUGCCAUCUCCUGGUGAUUCUGGUAAAGAAGCAUGCCAAGGUAGUAAACCAUGCGGCCAAAAUUGUAAAUGUGGCCCUAAUUGCAAAUGUGGAUCAAAUUGCCAAUGUGGGCAAAGUUCAGGUUGUGGUUCAUGUCCCUCUGGGAAUCAAUGUUGUGUAAAGAAAUAAAAAUGCCAGAAAUGAUUAACAUAUUUUGACAUUAUAUCACCCACCAAUAGAAUGUUUUGGCUUUGUUAUAUUUAUAAGCGACAAUAAAUAAAUUGUUUUUAUCUUAUUUGAGCAUGACACGUGUAUCUGAUAAAAAAUUAUAUAGAUCUUUAACAUUA